RNAcentral lists this ribosomal RNA (253 nucleotides) under uncultured organism. Its description in RNAcentral is "partial 16S ribosomal RNA". It matches the Rfam family "Bacterial small subunit ribosomal RNA", at positions 524 to 776 of the family's 1533-position model. The record is from RNAcentral.
GACGAACUGUCCAAACGUUGUUCGGAAUCACUGGGCUUAAAGGGCGCGUAGGCGGUCAAACAAGUCAGGGGUGAAAUCCUGCAGCUCAACUGUAGAAGUGCCUCUGAUACUGUUUGCCUAGAGGGAGAUAGGGGUGUGCGGAACUUCCAGUGGAGCGGUGAAAUGCGUUGAUAUUGGAAGGAACGCCGGAGGCGAAGGCGGCGCACUGGAUCUCUUCUGACGCUGAGGCGCGAAAGCUAGGGGAGCAAACGGG